GCUAGCGUAGCUUAAAUUAAAGCAUAACACUGAAGAUGUUAAGAUGGACCCUAAAAAGCCCCGCAGGCA
This 69-nucleotide transfer RNA is filed under the name Arothron mappa (map puffer). Its description in RNAcentral is "tRNA-Phe". It matches the Rfam family "tRNA". From Rfam's summary of the family: Transfer RNA (tRNA) molecules are approximately 80 nucleotides in length. The record is from RNAcentral. Lineage: Eukaryota; Metazoa; Chordata; Actinopteri; Tetraodontiformes; Tetraodontidae.